AUACCUGAACAGUUUCUACAUGGCCAAUAGAGAGAUCUUGCACUUAUGCACAUGCAUGUCCACACACAGGUACCCCCUCUGAUGAAGGGCUUGUCAACAUAAGAAAUCCCAGAGGAAAAACGCCCAUAAUGAGGAAUUCACAGAAAAUACACCAGAGCACCUGUACUGAGAGGGAGAAGGUGGAGGAGCCUGUGUGCAUACCCUGCUUCCCCUGCUGUUACACAGAUUCUAAACACAGGUCUGAGCACAAGCUCGAUGGCAACUCUCAGCUCCGUCUGCCGGGGCUGCAGCUCCAACGCUCCUCACCAUCCUCCACCUUCUCCUCCAAAGUAACAAAGCCAUUGGAUUUCCUCCCACCCCUUCCCUGCGCUCCCCCUCCCCCUCGCUGGCACCGGGGUUAUUUAUACAGAAUGUGGAAACAAUUUGCAGGAAAGUGAACAAUGUAAGCGGGAGUGAGGGAAGGGAGACAAGUUUGUUGUGCACACUGAGAGCCCCAGCGGUGAAACGCUGCUUUUUGGGGGGCUGAGAGAACAGACUGUUUUCCUUUCUUCCUUCUCCUCUAUUUCACCAUCUCCCUCAGCUCUUUCCAUCUUGCCAGAGUCGGGUCCAAACCAGAGCAACCAGAUCUGAGUGCGUGUUUUGGAGGAGGUUCAGGUUGGAUCCCUCCCUGCAUCCCAGCCCCGUGAGGCGGUGUCUGUGUACUUAAUCCUCUCCGAGGUUCUGCUCUCCAUCGUUGCUGCUCCUGGAUUAGCAUUAAUGAGGAGCAUGUGUGCUCAGAGGUCCCGCUCCAGGCCCCCAGAGCUGCAGCACUGGGUUUAGACACAGCUACUCUGAGGAACAGUUCAGCUGAAACAGAACCAUUCCUGGGAGUGAACGAGGCAGGAACUUUUUGCAAAGUCUAAUUUUGGUCUUUCUCCCCUCACCCACUGAGUAUUACAUUUUCAGGACAUCCCAGCACCUUGCUGGCUCCACUGCGAGUGUCUGGGAAUCAGGGAGUUUACCUGAGUUCUGCUGGGGCUGAGGAAGCUGAACCAGCACUGACUCAGCACUCAGAGCAGAUCUGGGAUCUUCAGCUGGCACUCUGCACCAUGAAGUCCUCAAAAAGAGGUAAUCCCAACCCACACACCAUUUGGGGA
Molecule: long non-coding RNA, 1136 nt
Filed under: Manacus vitellinus (golden-collared manakin)
Lineage: Eukaryota; Metazoa; Chordata; Aves; Passeriformes; Pipridae
Description: lncRNA (ENSMVIG00005017740.1)
Source: RNAcentral